Molecule: ribosomal RNA, 489 nt
Filed under: uncultured Enterobacter sp.
Lineage: Bacteria; Pseudomonadati; Pseudomonadota; Gammaproteobacteria; Enterobacterales; Enterobacteriaceae
Description: bacterial SSU rRNA
Rfam family: Bacterial small subunit ribosomal RNA
Source: RNAcentral
AUUGAACGCUGGCGGCAGGCCUAACACAUGCAAGUCGAGCGGUAACACAGGGAGCUUGCUCCUGGGUGACGAGCGGCGGACGGGUGAGUAAUGUCUGGGAAACUGCCCGAUGGAGGGGGAUAACUACUGGAAACGGUAGCUAAUACCGCAUAAUGUCGCAAGACCAAAGAGGGGGACCUUCGGGCCUCUUGCCAUCGGAUGUGCCCAGAUGGGAUUAGCUAGUAGGUGGGGUAACGGCUCACCUAGGCGACGAUCCCUAGCUGGUCUGAGAGGAUGACCAGCCACACUGGAACUGAGACACGGUCCAGACUCCUACGGGAGGCAGCAGUGGGGAAUAUUGCACAAUGGGCGCAAGCCUGAUGCAGCCAUGCCGCGUGUAUGAAGAAGGCCUUCGGGUUGUAAAGUACUUUCAGCGAGGAGGAAGGCAUUAAGGUUAAUAACCUUGGUGAUUGACGUUACUCGCAGAAGAAGCACCGGCUAACUCCGUGC